Molecule: long non-coding RNA, 2147 nt
Filed under: Homo sapiens (human)
Lineage: Eukaryota; Metazoa; Chordata; Mammalia; Primates; Hominidae
Description: non-protein coding lnc-TMUB2-1:3
Source: RNAcentral
AGUGUGUGCGCGGUUUUUUUUUUUUAAUUGCUCUUUGCUUUUGCAACCCUGAAGCAAAAGGGGGGGGGGGUAGUUACAGGGAAAAAAAAAGCGAGAAAGAAGCUCUUAGAUUUGCAACACAUCGGAAAACCGGGGGAGCACCCCGCCUUAUCCGAUCUCCAUGCUCCGCAAGGGCCUUCCGGGUUUUAGGACAAGCUUCUCAAUGUCCCGUUUCGCUGGGUUUAGGAUCCGAGGAGUCCGAGCAAAAAGUUCUCCCCCUGGGUCGUAGUGACGGGUGUCGGGGUGGGAGUUGCGGGGAUUUUUCAAGAAGCAGCAGCUACCCCGGCGUCGGUCACUGGGCCGGGGUAGGGGAAAGAGCAAAAUCCCAGUGGGUUUGCGCGAGGGAUCUUCUAGGGUCGAGGCGGGUGUGGGGGGAGUUGGAACCGGGAGACACCGCUUGGCGCAUCUCUCCCUCGGUCUCUACCUCCUGUCCUAUGCCAGCUCCCCCUUUAAUUUUUUUCCUCUCCUUUAAUCUAAUUUCUUCCAACUCCACCUUUGUUGUUACCGGCGUCACACCCGGACCAGCCAAUCCCCGCCACGCAAUCAGCUUGUCAAAAAGCCUCGGCCAUCCCUAGGAAAGCAGGCCGCAGGCGCUGCCCCCCGGCGGCGGCGGGCAGCCGCGAGGGGAGCCCAGCACCCGGUUCUCGCUGCCCCGGGUGGCAGCGGGGCAGCCUCCGACAAGACGUCCCUUGGUUCACUGUCCUGCAGGCCGGGGAUGAAAGGCCUGGACAGGGUCCACCACCCACUCUCCCACUGCCACGGCCGUGGUUGACUGUCUUUGCCUCCCCUUUUCAGAGGAAAGGUUAUCAGGACAGGACGCAGGGAGCCAGAAGACCAUCUGAAGGAAGCCUGCUUCCAACGGGCCCAGCCUCCAGCCACCGCUCCUGGGGCAGCGCCAUUGCUCCUGGCUCUCAGGCUGCCAGUCUCCCACACCGACGCUCUACUGCCCGCAUCUCGGCCAGCUGGGUCACCCAGCCCCUUUCGACUCUCCCCUGGCACGCAGCCUUCUCCUUCACUCGGCCUGCCUCGCUGCUGCUGUAAUUCCUCUUGUCUCCUGGGAGAAAUGAGAUUGCUUUCCCAGGACUUCCACAUCCCACUUCUAUCAGGUUUCACCAACAGGGAGGAAGCCCUGUCAAGAUCUGGUGUGUCCUGUUUUUUUUUUUUUUUUUUCCCAGAGGGCACUGGCAUGUAGGAGAAGCGGAUUUACCACUAGUAGAUGUUAAUGAAAUUUCAGCUUCUAGGCCCCUAACUUGCAGGACCUGCCCAAGGCCCUGAACUUAAUUUUGUUUUCAUCAUUUGGUAUUUUUUUGUUAAAAGAGCCACCGACCACCUCCCCGCUACCCCAGAACUGCACGUGUUUCUGGCCCUACAAACCCAGAUCGUCCCUUGGAAUAUACACAGGGCAAUUUGUGUAGGAUCACACUGCGCUAAAAGUGAGGCAUGGUGGGCUAGGCGCACUGGCUCACACCUGUAAUCCCAGCACUUUGGGAGACCAAGACAGGAGGUCUUAAGUGAUUAAGCCCAGGAGUUCGAGAUCAGCUUAGACAACAUAGCAAGAUGCUGCCUCUACAAACACACACACCCCCUAUUAUAAUAUGUCAAAAAAAAAAAAAAAAAAAGGAAAAGUGAGGCAUAGAACUGACUUUAUUGUUUUGACUAGGAAAGAGCAAAGGGUUUGGAAUCAAAAGUCCCAACUUCCCCACCUUCUUAAUAGUGUGUGAAUCUGAGUGCCUUAUUAACCUUCCCUGGUCCCAGUUUCGUAUCUGUAAAGUUAGAAUAGCAAUCCUGUUUAAUUUGCUUCUCUCACCAGGGAUCAGAAGGCCAAAUGAGAUGAUGUAUGUAAAAUUGUAAAGUCCUCCACAGAUGGCACUUGCCACAUUACAGAGAACUUGAGACCCCCCCCCACCAAUAACGUUCCAAAUCUUCCACAUGCAGAUCUGGAGUCCAGGUGUCCUGGCUCCUGGCCCUGAACUUUUUGGCUGGGCCAAGGGGCUUUUCGGUAAAGUGCUUUGGAAUAAAACAGGAUGAACAUGAAUCAUAAGAAUGAGUAUUUAUUGAUUCCUUGGGCAGCAAAAACUAUGGCUGGCACCCUUCCCACUUGGAAACGA